UGCAUUUACUAUCGGGGGUGGGGAUCGAAUUAACGUUUAGAGUCGAGUUUACUUUCUCAUCAAAGAGAAGAAGGACUUCUUCUUAAAUACACGUCUGUAUAAGAGAUGGUGAUACUUGAAAAGAACACUCGUUCCUUCUUAACUAUCUAAGCGAGAGUAUUAGCCACUCGAACGAACGAACGAACGAACUCGAAGAAACUAUGAGAACGGUAAUGGAAUAACAACGAUGACGAUACUUGGGGGAUUGGUAUCAAGAACCAGAUGCAAAUUAAAUGUAUGAUAAAAGGAAAAACAAAAAAGAAAAAAUUGUUAACAACGUUGAAUAAUUUUCAUCAAUUAUGAUUAUGAAAAGUAUUUUGGGGGAUUGAAAAAUCAGACAAAGAAGUAGAAAGAAGUUACUUGAUAAAGGAUUAAUAAAUAAAUCAUGAAACCAUUGGUUGAAUCAUUUCACUGUUCAUCCCAAAAAGUCUGUUGGGUCCCCGUUAAAGGAGCGAAAGCGAUACAACUACCACGCCUUGAUAAAGUUCGG
Long non-coding RNA from Polistes dominula (European paper wasp), 529 nucleotides. Lineage: Eukaryota; Metazoa; Arthropoda; Insecta; Hymenoptera; Vespidae. The record is from RefSeq and is a predicted model, not a curated record.